Long non-coding RNA from Carassius gibelio (silver crucian carp), 845 nucleotides. RefSeq lists it as uncharacterized. NCBI's taxonomy places the organism in Eukaryota, Metazoa, Chordata, Actinopteri, Cypriniformes, Cyprinidae. The transcript is spliced from 3 exons. The record is from RefSeq and is a predicted model, not a curated record.
UAGAUAAAAAAGUUCGUCGAGACAAACUUUAAGUUGGCUUGAGAAAGGCGGUGCAGAAAGUUUGAAAAAGUUAGAAAAGUUUGAAAAGUUUAAGAAGUUUAAAAAGUUUUAAGUUUGAUGGUUUUCAGUCUGAGAUAGAUCAGAUAGAUAGAUAGAUAUAUAGAUAGAUAGAUAGAUAGACACAGUCAGAAGAUAGAUAGAUAGAUCUAGGGUCCCCAGGAGUGGUUGCUAAGGUGUUGCUAAGCGGUUGCUAGGGUACCCUGAGUGGUUGCUAAGGUGUUGCUAUGCGGUUGCUAGGGUAUCUGGGAUGGUUGCUAGGGUGUUGCUAUGCGGUUGCUAGGGUACCCUGAGUGGUUGCUAAGGUGUUGCUAUGCGGUUGCUAGGGUAUCUGGGAUGGUUGCUAGGGUGUUGCUAUGCGGUUGCUAGGGUACCCUGAGUGGUUGCUAAGGUGUUUCUAUGCGGUUGCUAGGGUAUCUGGGAUGGUUGCUAGGGUGUUGCUAUGCGGUUGCUAGGGUACCCCGAGUGGUUGCUAAGGUGUUGCUAUGCGGUUGCUAGGGUAUCUGGGAUGGUUGCUAGGGUGUUGCUAUGCGGUUGCUAGGGUACCCCGAGUGGUUGCUAAGGUGUUGCUAUGCGGUUGCUAGGGUAUCUGGGAUGGUUGCUAGGGUGUUGCUAUGCGGUUGCUAGGGUACCCUGAGUGGUUGCUAAGGUGUUGCUAUGCGGUUGCUAGGGUAUCUGGGAUGGUUGCUAGGGUGUUGCUAUGCGGUUGCUAGGGUACCCUGAGUGGUUGCUAAGGUGUUGCUAUGCGGUUGCUAGUGUUACUGGGAUGGUUGCUAGGGUGUUGCUAU